UUACCAAACUGUUGCCUCGGCGGGAUCUCUGCCCCGGGUGCGUCGCAGCCCCGGACCAAGGCGCCCGCCGGAGGACCAACCAAAACUCUUAUUGUAUACCCCCUCGCGGGUUUUUUUAUAAUCUGAGCCUUCUCGGCGCCUCUCGUAGGCGUUUCGAAAAUGAAUCAAAACUUUCAACAACGGAUCUCUUGGUUCUGGCAUCGAUGAAGAACGCAGCGAAAUGCGAUAAGUAAUGUGAAUUGCAGAAUUCAGUGAAUCAUCGAAUCUUUGAACGCACAUUGCGCCCGCCAGUAUUCUGGCGGGCAUGCCUGUCCGAGCGUCAUUUCAACCCUCGAACCCCUCCGGGGGGUCGGCGUUGGGGAUCGGCCCUGCCUCUUGGCGGCGGCCGUCUCCGAAAUACAGUGGCGGUCUCGCCGCAGCCUCUCCUGCGCAGUAGUUUGCACACUCGCAUCGGGAGCGCGGCGCGUCCACAGCCGUUAAACACCCAACUUCUGAAAUGUUGACCUCGGAUCAGGUAGGAAUACCCGCUGAACUUAAGCAUAUCAA
RNAcentral lists this ribosomal RNA (546 nucleotides) under Trichoderma harzianum. RNAcentral's name for it is "eukaryotic LSU rRNA". The stretch from base 169 to 322 matches the Rfam family "5.8S ribosomal RNA". The record is from RNAcentral. Lineage: Eukaryota; Fungi; Ascomycota; Sordariomycetes; Hypocreales; Hypocreaceae.